GCUGUGAUGGCCGAGAGGUUAUCGUUGGGCUCGAAGCCCAAUGGGGUUUCCCCACGCAGGUUCGAACCCUGCUCGCAGUG
This 80-nucleotide transfer RNA is filed under the name Anguilla anguilla (European eel). It matches the Rfam family "tRNA". Rfam says of the family: Transfer RNA (tRNA) molecules are approximately 80 nucleotides in length. Their secondary structure includes four short double-helical elements and three loops (D, anti-codon, and T loops). Further hydrogen bonds mediate the characteristic L-shaped molecular structure. tRNAs have two regions of fundamental functional importance: the anti-codon, which is responsible for specific mRNA codon recognition, and the 3' end, to which the tRNAs corresponding amino acid is attached (by aminoacyl-tRNA synthetases). tRNAs cope with the degeneracy of the genetic code in two manners: having more than one tRNA (with a specific anti-codon) for a particular amino acid; and 'wobble' base-pairing, i.e. permitting non-standard base-pairing at the 3rd anti-codon position. Lineage: Eukaryota; Metazoa; Chordata; Actinopteri; Anguilliformes; Anguillidae. The record is from Rfam by way of RNAcentral.